CGUAGGGUGCGAGCGUUAAUCGGAAUUACUGGGCGUAAAGUGUGCGCAGGCGGCGCCGCAAGUCGAGUGUGAAAGCCCCGGGCUUAACUUGGGAAUUGCGCUCGAAACUAUGGUGCUGGAGUGUGGCAGAGGAAGGUGGAAUUCCAGGUGUAGCGGUGAAAUGCGUAGAGAUCUGGAGGAACACCGAUGGCGAAGGCAGCCUUCUGGGCCAACACUGACGCUCAUGCACGAAAGCGUGGGGAGCAAACAGGAUUAGAUACCCUGGUAGUCCACGCCCUAAACGAUGAUGACUAGUUGUUGGAGGAGUUAAAUCCUUUAGUAACGCAGCUAACGCGUGAAGUCAUCCGCCUGGGGAGUACGGUCGCAAGAUUA
Molecule: ribosomal RNA, 372 nt
Filed under: uncultured organism
Description: bacterial SSU rRNA
Rfam family: Bacterial small subunit ribosomal RNA
Source: RNAcentral